AACGAACGCUGGCGGCAUGCCUAACACAUGCAAGUCGAACGAGACCUUCGGGUCUAGUGGCGCACGGGUGCGUAACGCGUGGGAACCUGCCCUUAGGUUCGGAAUAACUCCCCGAAAGGGGUGCUAAUACCGGAUAAUGUCUUCGGACCAAAGAUUUAUCGCCUUUGGAUGGGCCCGCGUUGGAUUAGCCAGUUGGUAGGGUAAAAGCCUACCAAGGCGACGAUCCAUAGCUGGUCUGAGAGGAUGGUCAGCCACACUGGGACUGAGACACGGCCCAGACUCCUACGGGAGGCAGCAGUGGGGAAUAUUGGACAAUGGGCGAAAGCCUGAUCCAGCAAUGCCGCGUGAGUGAUGAAGGCCUUAGGGUUGUAAAGCUCUUUUACCCGGGAUGAUAAUGACAGUACCGGGAGAAUAAGCUCCGGCUAACUCCGUG
RNAcentral lists this ribosomal RNA (433 nucleotides) under uncultured bacterium. RNAcentral describes it as "partial 16S ribosomal RNA". It matches the Rfam family "Bacterial small subunit ribosomal RNA", at positions 29 to 507 of the family's 1533-position model. The record is from RNAcentral.